GAAUACUUGUGGAUGUAUAGCAAUCCUUGAGCUACACCUUCGGUGAUUUUUACUCGCUGUCCCCAGUCUAGCUUCGCAUUAUCAGAUGACCCUCAACAAACAGCAAAAUCAUUGUGAAAUUUAGAAACUUUUGUUCUUGAUGAUGGCAAAUCAUUAACAUAACAUCAAGACAAAGAUGAGGAAUCAACCAAAGAGAAACUUGUCCAAGC
This 209-nucleotide long non-coding RNA is filed under the name Linum usitatissimum (flax). Its description in RNAcentral is "long non-coding RNA (LUSI_LNC000120)". The record is from RNAcentral. Lineage: Eukaryota; Viridiplantae; Streptophyta; Magnoliopsida; Malpighiales; Linaceae.